RNAcentral lists this transfer-messenger RNA (351 nucleotides) under Rhodospirillaceae bacterium. It matches the Rfam family "Alphaproteobacteria transfer-messenger RNA". From Rfam's summary of the family: Bacterial tmRNA, also known as 10Sa RNA or SsrA, is named for its dual tRNA and mRNA-like properties. Its role is to liberate the mRNA from a stalled ribosome. The record is from RNAcentral. Lineage: Bacteria; Pseudomonadati; Pseudomonadota; Alphaproteobacteria; Rhodospirillales; Rhodospirillaceae.
GCAGUAGCGAAUUAACCACUUUGCCCCUAUAUUAACCCUGCUGCUUCGGCAGCUAUGGCGCUAAACGUAUUGCGAAAUAAACGUUUCGGACCCGGGGGCAGUGCCCGGCGGCUCCACCAAUUGCGGUUCCAGGUUCAAACCUGGGCCGCCUAUGGGGCCGAUCCAGGAUCGACGGGCGUGGUAAAGGCAAUGCUUGUUCCCGGCAUGGUUCCGCCGUUAUCGGGCCAUUUUAAAAGUGCCAACGACAACGUUGCACUCGUUGAAGACGUCCGUCUCGCCGCCUAACGGCCGCUAGACACUUAGUCUAAGACGCGGUUCGGAGGGGCACCGGGCAACAGAAGCCCCUCCACU